This 240-nucleotide unclassified non-coding RNA is filed under the name soil metagenome. RNAcentral's name for it is "partial contains 5.8S ribosomal RNA, internal transcribed spacer 2, and large subunit ribosomal RNA". The record is from RNAcentral.
AACAUCGCGCACCUGCGGGAACCUGCGGAGGGAUCAUUAACACAAUGAUAAUCCUACCACUUGCAGUAGGCCCUUCACUGGGCCGGCUGCAAGAACCACAGUUGGAAAUGUUAAAGUCCCUCCAACAGCAUCCGGCUGCGGCCGCCUGCCUGUUGGGCAAAAGGGCUUUAAGUCUUUUUCUUUUCAUGAAUCACAUGAAAGAAACUUGCAAAACAUAACCGUAUCCAAUACGAUAUGUUA